Molecule: ribosomal RNA, 253 nt
Filed under: uncultured bacterium
Lineage: Bacteria
Description: partial 16S ribosomal RNA
Rfam family: Bacterial small subunit ribosomal RNA
Source: RNAcentral
UACAGAGGUGGCAAGCGUUGUUCGGAAUUACUGGGCGUAAAGGGCGCGUAGGCGGUUCGUUAAGUCCUGUGUGAAAUCCCCCGGCUCAACUGGGGAACUGCACAGGAAACUAGCGGGCUUGAGUUCGGGAGAGGGAAGCGGAAUUCCACGUGUAGCGGUGAAAUGCGUAGAGAUGUGGAGGAACACCAAUGGCGAAGGCAGCCUUCUGGGCCAACACUGACGCUCAUGCACGAAAGCGUGGGGAGCAAACAGG